AAGAGUUAGGGUCCUCUGGGCCCGACCUCCCAACCCUUUGUUUACUGAACCUCUGUUGCUUCGGCGGACCCGCCUCACGGCCGCCGGAGGAUCGCCCCCAGGCGUCCUCUGGCCAGCGCCCGCCGACAGCCACUCUCAAAACUCUUGAAUAAAUCAUGUCAUUGUCUAAGUUAUGAUGCAAAUCAAUAAAGCA
RNAcentral lists this unclassified non-coding RNA (193 nucleotides) under soil metagenome. RNAcentral describes it as "partial internal transcribed spacer 1". The record is from RNAcentral.